Small nuclear RNA from Carcharodon carcharias (great white shark), 159 nucleotides. RefSeq annotates it as U1 spliceosomal RNA. Lineage: Eukaryota; Metazoa; Chordata; Chondrichthyes; Lamniformes; Lamnidae. The record is from RefSeq and is a predicted model, not a curated record. The transcript has a single exon.
AUGCUUACCUGGCAGGGGAGAGACCAUGAUCAUGAAAGUGGUAUUCCUAGGACAAGGCUAGACCAUUGCACUUUGGGUGUGCUGACUCCUGCAAUGUCCCCUAUUGCGGGAUACUAGACUGCAAAAUUUGUGGUAUCGUUAUGAUGCUGCCUAUUAAUC